GCCCAGUGGUGCAUAUGUGGGUGUACCAGUAGUCCCAUCUACUAGGAAGGCUGAGGCAGGAGGAUCACUUGAGCCUAGGAGUUCUGGACUGUAGUGCACUAUGCUGAUUGGGUGUCCUAAGUUCCGAUUCAAUAUGGUGACGUUCUGGGAAUGGGGACCCUAGGUUGCCUAAAGAGGGGUGAACUGGCUCAGGUUGGAAAUGGAGCAGCUCAAAACUCCUGUACUAAUCAGUAGUGGUAUACCCCGUGCCAAUCAGUAGUGGUAUAUCCUAUGCUAAUCAGUAGUGCUAUACCCCAU
This 297-nucleotide signal recognition particle RNA is filed under the name Cebus imitator (Panamanian white-faced capuchin). RNAcentral's name for it is "Metazoan signal recognition particle RNA (ENSCCAG00000009141.1)". It matches the Rfam family "Metazoan signal recognition particle RNA". Rfam says of the family: The signal recognition particle (SRP) is a universally conserved ribonucleoprotein. It is involved in the co-translational targeting of proteins to membranes. Lineage: Eukaryota; Metazoa; Chordata; Mammalia; Primates; Cebidae. The record is from Rfam by way of RNAcentral.